GUGCCAGCCGCCGCGGUAAUACGGAGGGUGCAAGCGUUGUCCGGAAUCACUGGGCGUAAAGGGUGCGCAGGCGGGGCAGCAAGUCGGAGGUGAAAGCCCGUGGCUCAACCACGGAAGUGCCUUCGAAACUGCUGCUCUUGAGUCCCGGAGAGGUUGCCGGAAUUCGUGGUGUAGCGGUGAAAUGCGUAGAUAUCACGAGGAACACCAGAGGCGAAAGCGGGCAACUGGACGGGUACUGACGCUCAGGCACGAAGGCGCGGGGGGCAAACAGAAUUAGAAACCCGUGUAGUC
Molecule: ribosomal RNA, 291 nt
Filed under: uncultured bacterium
Lineage: Bacteria
Description: partial 16S ribosomal RNA
Rfam family: Bacterial small subunit ribosomal RNA
Source: RNAcentral